GACGAACGCUGGCGGCGUGCUUAACACAUGCAAGUCGAACGGAAAGGCCCUGCUCUUGUGGGGUGCUCGAGUGGCGAACGGGAGAGAAACACGUGAGUCACCUGCCCUUGACUGUGGGAUAACUUCAGGAAACUGGGGAUAACACCGGAUAGGAGCUCCUGCUGCGUGGGGGGGGGUGGAGAGUUUCGGCGGUUGGGGAUGGACUCGCGGCUUCUCAGCGUGGUGGUGGGGUAGUGGCUUACCAAGGUUUUGACGGUUAGCCGGCUUGAGAGGGUGACCGGCCACAUUGGGCCUGGGAUACGGCCCAGCCCCCUCCGGGAGGCAGCAGUGGGGAUUAUUGCACAUUGGGCGGAGGCUGGUGGCACCACGCCCGCGUGCGGGAUGACGGCCUUCGGUUGUUAACCCGCUUCCCCCUUGGCGGAAGUGUGUGUGACGGUAGUGGGUAAAGAAGCACCGGCUAACUACGUG
This 468-nucleotide ribosomal RNA is filed under the name uncultured bacterium. Its description in RNAcentral is "partial 16S ribosomal RNA". It matches the Rfam family "Bacterial small subunit ribosomal RNA", at positions 28 to 507 of the family's 1533-position model. The record is from RNAcentral.